This 349-nucleotide RNase P RNA is filed under the name Anaeromassilibacillus sp. An200. RNAcentral's name for it is "Bacterial RNase P class A". It matches the Rfam family "Bacterial RNase P class A". Rfam says of the family: Ribonuclease P (RNase P) is a ubiquitous endoribonuclease, found in archaea, bacteria and eukarya as well as chloroplasts and mitochondria. Its best characterised activity is the generation of mature 5'-ends of tRNAs by cleaving the 5'-leader elements of precursor-tRNAs. The record is from Rfam by way of RNAcentral. RNAcentral also lists the same sequence under 1 other name. Lineage: Bacteria; Bacillati; Bacillota; Clostridia; Eubacteriales; Acutalibacteraceae.
UGAGCAGCCUGAGCGGCCGCGGGCGAAGCCCGAAAGGGCCCGUCUGAGGAAAGUCCGAGCUCCACAGGGCAAGAAUAACGGCUAACGGCCGCCGGGGGCGACCCCAGGGAAAGUGCAACAGAGAGAUACCGCCGCUCUUUGGGCGGCAAGGGUGGAAAGGCGAGGUAAGAGCUCACCAGCGCGCGGGAGACCGCGCGGCUCUGCAAACCCUAUUCGGAGCAACACCGCGGAGGGACAGUAUGCGCCGGCCCGGCGCGUCCCGUGGAGGUGGCAGGAACCGGAGCGGCAACGCACGGUCAAGAUAGAUGGUCGUUCAUGACAGAACUCGGCUUACAGGGCUGGUCACACC